RNAcentral lists this ribosomal RNA (465 nucleotides) under uncultured bacterium. RNAcentral describes it as "bacterial SSU rRNA". It matches the Rfam family "Bacterial small subunit ribosomal RNA", at positions 338 to 795 of the family's 1533-position model. The record is from RNAcentral.
CCUACGGGUUGCAGCAGUGGGGAAUAUUGCACAAUGGGCGCAAGCCUGAUGCAGCCAUGCCGCGUGUGUGAAGAAAGCCUCCGGGUUGUAAAGCACUUUCAGCGGGGAGGAAGGCGUUAAGGUUAAUAACCUUAGCGAUUGACGUUACGCGCAGAAGAAGCACCGGCUAACUCCGUGCCAGCAGCCGCGGUAAUGCGGAGGGUGCAAGCGUUAAUCGGAAUUACUGGGCGUAAAGCGCACGCAGGCGGUCUGUCAAGUCGGAUGUGAAAUCCCCGGGCUCAACCUGGGAACUGCAUUCGAAACUGGCAGGCUAGAGUCGUGUAGAGGGGGGUAGAAUUCCAGGUGUAGCGGUGAAAUGCGUAGAGAUCUGGAGGAAUACCGGUGGCGAAGGCGGCCCCCUGGACAAAGACUGACGCUCAGGUGCGAAAGCGUGGGGAGCAAACAGGAUUAGAUACCCUUGUAGUC